UUCCACGAAGGUGGAUCACACGCGGGAAUCGAACAAGGCUCAAGUAGCGUCCUUUCCCCCCCCGAAUGAUCUAUUAUUAGGCGAGGCUUAAGGGUGGGGCCGGAGAGAGAGAAAGCCUGGUUUAGAAAGUGGGGGAAAGCGAGCGAGCGAUCGCGCCUCGACCUCCACGGAGCCUGUUCCCUCCCUUCUCAACUUGAGGCUGCCGGGUUGCAGGGAGAGAGCGAGCAUGUGAUCGCAUUGGCUCGCCUUGCCAUGGUGUGGCAGCAGCGCGGGCAGCAAUGGAGGCGGCUUAAGGGACGAGGCUGGGCGGCUGCUGCUGCUGCUGGCUGGCUAGACCGCAGAUGGGAAAGCCCGACCCAAUUUCUCGUCGCCAAAUCCAGCUGGAAAGAAGAGCAUUAAUUGGCAUACCGAAGAAGUGCAUGAAAAGUUUUGAUACUUUGGAAAAGCCUGAGUAGACCCGUAUAUAAGAAGAUUAAACUUUGGGAAGGUAAG
Molecule: non-coding RNA, 492 nt
Organism: Podarcis muralis (Common wall lizard)
Lineage: Eukaryota; Metazoa; Chordata; Lepidosauria; Squamata; Lacertidae
Source: RefSeq, a predicted model, not a curated record